GUUUACAGCCAUACCACCCUGAACAUGCCCAAUCUCAUCUGAUCUCGGAAGCUAAGCAUGGUCGGGCCUGGUUAGAACUUGGAUAGGAGUAAGAGUAGUUGGGAGAGAAGUAGCAGUCAUGU
This is a ribosomal RNA of Chlorocebus sabaeus (green monkey), 122 nucleotides long. Lineage: Eukaryota; Metazoa; Chordata; Mammalia; Primates; Cercopithecidae. The record is from Ensembl.